RNAcentral lists this ribosomal RNA (364 nucleotides) under uncultured eukaryote. Its description in RNAcentral is "partial 18S ribosomal RNA". It matches the Rfam family "Eukaryotic small subunit ribosomal RNA", at positions 592 to 976 of the family's 1831-position model. The record is from RNAcentral.
CAAUAGCGUAUAUUUAAGUUGUUGCAGUUAAAAGCUCGUAGUCGGAUUUUGGCUGAGAACGAUCGGUCCGCCGUUAGGUGUGCACUGAUUGGUCUCAGCUUCCUGGUGAGGAGGUGUGCUUCACGGCCACUUAGUCACCGUGGUUACUUUGAAAAAAUUAGAGUGUUCAAAGCGGGCUUACGCUUGAAUAUAUUAGCAUGGAAUAACACCAUAGGACUCCUGUCCUAUUUCGUUGGUCUCGGGACGGGAGUAAUGAUUAAGAGGAACAGUUGGGGGCAUUCGUAUUUCAUUGUCAGAGGUGAAAUUCUUGGAUUUAUGAAAGACGAACUUCUGCGAAAGCAUUUGCCAAGGAUGUUUUCAUUGA